Vitis riparia (riverbank grape) is the source of this 3838-nucleotide long non-coding RNA. RefSeq lists it as uncharacterized. Lineage: Eukaryota; Viridiplantae; Streptophyta; Magnoliopsida; Vitales; Vitaceae. The transcript has 3 exons. The record is from RefSeq and is a predicted model, not a curated record.
AACGACGUCGUUCCCAGGAAAUGCGAAACCGCCCCCUGGCGGGAAUGUCUCCAAAUCCCAAGCACCAAUGAACGCCGCCAAGUGCUUCGUUUGAUGUUCAAAACCGACGUCGUUUCAUUCCAUGUGAACGUCUCAUUCUCAAAACCUUCGAAUCUUUCGCAAUCUCCAAACCCUAACAUCUACAUAUCGUCUCCGUCGUCGAAUCACAUAGAAAUUCUCCCCAUGGAUGAGAUCAGAACCAUCACAGCCUUCAAUGGAGAAUGCAGGUGACAUCAGCAGGGGAUGCAGACUGCAGACAAACUGAAAGUGAAUGGGUGAAGGAAGAUAGACAACCGAGUGAGUGGGUGGCUUGCACGUAAGCUCCCCCAUCAUCUACAGCUAAACAAGUAGAAGAGAAGAUGUGUUUGUGGAGUCAGACCCAUCACCACGUGCCUUGUUCUUGCCCAUCAAACUCUCAUUGUAAGGCAAAGAAGCAGGGGAAUAACCAGGAGCUUACAUGCAUGUCAUACUGUAAAUAUAAGUGUACAACUUUUGAUGGAUCCAUGACUCCAUGCCUGUGCAUUUCCAUGUAAAUUUCUUGGUUUUUUUUAUGGGUCUUAGAUUCAUUGCCUUGGUUCCUCAUUGAAAACUUUUAAGUUAGGAUACAUGGUAGGAUUUACUAAGACUCCUAUAAAGAAAACACAAGCAUACAUGUUAAGAAACGUUCCUUAUUGUUUAGGAGGACAAUUGAGCACAAUAGCUAUUAUCUAUUUAUCUGUCAAGUGUCAUGCUAAAAACAUGAGAAACAAACCACCAACUUGCAUCUUCAUCUUGCCCAUCUUUGUACUUCCGUUUGGGCUGAUGAAGACAUUUAACAUUCCACCCAGACCAAUAACCGCCCCAAGCUGUACCCCUCUAAGAGAAAGAAAUGAUGUUUGGUGGCAGCUUCCAUCAUAGAUAGACAUUCUAAAUAGCACCACACUAGUCGUGGCAACAAGCAUUCUAUCAUCUACAGAAAAGAUUCCAUCUUUCAUUAUUCUUGUAAGAACUUCCCACUUGCGGCUCACAAGAAGAUUUGUCUUCAUGCUCUAAUUCCUGUAAAAUUUCAGACAUCACAACUAGAAGAAGGUUAAUCUAUUGAGUUACCCUAAUAAGAUUGCCAAGACAAUAUUAGAAUUGUCUUAUCCCCCCUAUGAUCAAUCUGACAACCUGAUCAUGGCAGCUAUGAAGCCAAGCUGGUCCUGGCAUUAUUAGUAGUUUAAACUGUUGAAGGACAAGAUGCCUGAAUUCCAACCCUUACCCUAGAGCUAAACUUCAGGCUACCAAUUCAUAGAGGUUCAUUAGGCCAGGUUGAGUUUGCCGGUUGGUGGAAACUGACAAGGAUAUUGGUCUACAUGCCUUCAUUCCCUGAUGUGGCAAAACCUUUGGCCUCAUUCUAGGUUCUCCGAUCUCCAUUCUUUGUUGCUACUGGACAUUGUGGUCUCUGUUCCCUUCUUGUCCAUGAGCUUGUGUUCAAUCACCAAAGUUUUCUUAAUGCUCCCAACUAUGGCCUUUCCAUGAUAUUUCAAAGUUCAUUUUCAUCACACAUACAUGGGCAUGGCCCGGGUGUUUGUGUGUGUUUGUAUAUUUGUAUACGUAAAUAUUUCAACAGCGAACAAGGAGAGAAUCUGUGAAUUUGAAAGGCCCAAGAUGAGAGCGGUUAAGUCUCUUCCACUUGUUAUGCCUGACUGUGGAAAGGCGUAGGUCUUGGCAGCUUGUGUUGCAAAUAAUCUCGACUACAGCAACGUGGAUUAGCAUCCGCUUUAUGGUCCCCAGUCACAUGAUUGAACCAUCAGUGAAAGUAGGCGCCCAUAUAUUUGUCGUCUUUGAUCCCCUGGUCGGGUGAAUGGAUUGUAUUUCCUGAGCAAACCUAUCAUUCUACUUUUCUUUUUCGGGGUUAGAUCACCCAGGCAUUGCAGUUUUCCGUGACAAAUGGAUCAUUUUAUGUUAGGUGGCCUGAGUGCAGACAAAAUAAGGAUGGUUGAUGGGUUCACUUCUCAGCAAGUCUAUGGAUCAUGUGUGGAAGUUUAAGGAAAAAAAAAGGUUAUGUUUUUUUGAAGAAAUCCUCCUUAUCUUAACAGGAACCCAUGCACCCUCUUAAUUAAAGGAAAUCAGCUUUUACUUUUAGGAAUGCAGGUCUUGCAAUUGGGUGAGGCAGUCGUCAGUUGAUGGGGGGUGGGGGGAUGAUUGCCUGGACUUCAAAGCUCUGCUUGCUAUGUUGCUAGGUCUGCAAUUCAUUUAUGUUGUGGCAGCUUCUUUUGGGGUUUUGGACCGCCCUUUUGCCAUGCCCUUUCUGGAUUCAUGGUUCGAUUUAUUAUCUUUGGAUUCUAGAUCCGUGUUAUAAGUCCCUAAAAUUGUUUUUAGUACUUGAUUACAAGUGCCCCAUACCUGUAUAGUUGGCCCCACCAUGUUCGGAUUGCAUGGUGAUCACGAGCAAUUUUCAUAAAUAUAAAACAAACACCUGGGGAAAUUCCGAAAUUUAGCAACUCCUCCUGCAUUCAUGUUUGAUACAACUUUUGAACUUCCAACUCAAAUCUCUAGUCCUCUUCAUAGGAUAAGUAGGUGAAAUAUUAGUUAAAAAAAUAAGAGUGAAAAACAAGGUUGACCCUAGAGUGAAAGUGAGUCCGUGAAACAAGCUCUGGCACCCUGAGUGUUAAAAGAGAGACACACCACUCUGGAGAAAUGUCCAAUCCAGUGCCGUGGAUUGAGCGAGAGGUUCUUUACUCUUUUUCCAUAUGGGGUACAUUAUUUGAGAAAUGAGAAGAGGCACAAGUGGUAGUAGUAGGGCUGUGGGAGGAGGGGAGUUUUUGGUUGUGCGGUUCAAUGCGUUCAUAAUGCAUGUGCAUCCCCACGUGAAGCAGCGGGCUGGGGGGGGGUCUCUGAGCAUGGACCUUUUUGGACUAAUCCGCCGAUUACUUGGACUACCGACCAUUUCCCAUUUUGAUUUCUCUCAUUUAUGCUGCUUCUUUUUUCAAAUUAUUACUCUUACUCUUAGGAUGCUUCUCUCUCAUCCACGUGGUUAUUAUUUCACAUGAUUUCUUUCCUCUUUACUUUUAAUUUUGCAUGAUAAAAAAGUGUUUUUACUCGUCACUUUCUUUAUUACCCAAAUUUUUGCUUUUGUUAAAUUCAACGAUCGUGUCAUACGAGCCCACGAUUCUAAGUCUCAGUAAAGACAGUAAUAAUACCUUUCAAUUUCUCUAAGCAUGUUCUUCAUAAUAUUUUGGUUAAAUUAACCUUUUAUCAACCAUCUUAAUAUCGCAUAAAUUAAAUCAGUAUUUUUAAAAAAGAAAAUUUAGAUUGAAGCCGCAUAAAAAUGUUGACUUCUGUUAGUUCACAAACUUCAGGGGACCUGACAUAUUCAAGUUAAUUUUUUUAAAAAGAAGUCCUUUUCAAUGUUGAACUCUCAGGAAUGGUUUAAGGUUCCCGCUUCGCUUCAUUCUCCUGGAGUCCAAACGCAAGUCUUUUGAUGGCUGAGAAGCUGAUAAAAUUUGAAUUGUUUUCACUUUUGGGAAAAGGAAAGGGAAAGAAAAGGGCAAGCAAUAGGGACUAGGGAGUAGAUUUGCGAUAAAAGUGGAGCAGUGUUAGUCUUUUAGAAGGCCAUAGUAUAUUAGUAUCAGAAGUUUUGGUACUCUCAGGGGGCCACUCUGUAACGUACUCGCCCAUCCAGGGAGGAACGUAGGAUUGAAAUGGGCAUAAGGCAGCAGCCAAAAGAUACGCCGCAUCGCCUUGCACAUGAGGCUGUACCCUAUGGACGUGCCUCAUCUUAUUCAUCUCACCCAUCCAAUCAAUCUUUUUUUGAAAAAAAAAAAAAAAAAAAAAA